CGAAACAGUGUCGACGGACGUGUAAAGACGAGGCUUUCGCUCGGCUGGGCUCCGUUAGAAGCCCAUCGCAAAUAGUCGCAAACGACAACUUUGCUGAAGGUGAACUGCUCGCAGCGUAAGCUGUGCGUGGAUUACCGCUUUAACUCCUAGGGAUUCAGACCCCUAGGCGGGGCCCGGAGGCGCCUGGCAACAGAAGCCUCCACC
This 204-nucleotide transfer-messenger RNA is filed under the name Hyphomonas sp. RNAcentral's name for it is "partial transfer-messenger RNA". It matches the Rfam family "Alphaproteobacteria transfer-messenger RNA", at positions 153 to 355 of the family's 355-position model. Rfam says of the family: Bacterial tmRNA, also known as 10Sa RNA or SsrA, is named for its dual tRNA and mRNA-like properties. Its role is to liberate the mRNA from a stalled ribosome. To accomplish this part of the tmRNA is used as a reading frame that ends in a translation stop signal. The record is from RNAcentral. Lineage: Bacteria; Pseudomonadati; Pseudomonadota; Alphaproteobacteria; Hyphomonadales; Hyphomonadaceae.